UAAAACCAGCACCUCAAGUGGUCAGGAUGAUUAUUGGGCCUAAAGCAUCCGUAGCCGGCUCAGUAAGUUUUCGGUUAAAUCUGUACGCUUAACGUACAGGCUGCCGGGAAUACUGCAGAGCUAGGGAGUGGGAGAGGUAGACGGUACUCGGGAGGAAGUGGUAAAAUGCUUUGAUCUUUCGAUGACCACCUGUGGCGAAGGCGGUCUACCAGAACACGUCCGACGGUGAGGGAUGAAAGCUGGGGGAGCAAACCGGAUUAGAUACCCGGGUAGUCCCAGCUGUAAACUAUGCAAACUCAGUGAUGCAUUGGCUUGUGGCCAAUGCAGUGUUGCAGGGAAGCCGUUAAGUUUGCCGCCUGGGAAGUACGUACGCAAGUAUG
Molecule: ribosomal RNA, 380 nt
Filed under: uncultured crenarchaeote
Lineage: Archaea; Thermoproteati; Thermoproteota
Also listed under: 1 other name
Description: bacterial SSU rRNA
Rfam family: Archaeal small subunit ribosomal RNA
Source: RNAcentral